Molecule: ribosomal RNA, 460 nt
Filed under: uncultured bacterium
Lineage: Bacteria
Description: partial 16S ribosomal RNA
Rfam family: Bacterial small subunit ribosomal RNA
Source: RNAcentral
CCUACGGGGGGCUGCAGUGAGGAAUAUUGGUCAAUGGACGAGAGUCUGAACCAGCCAAGUAGCGUGAAGGAUGACUGCUCUAUGGGUUGUAAACUUCUUUUAUAUGGGAAUAAAAUGUUCCACGUGUGGGAUUUUGUAUGUACCAUAUGAAUAAGGAUCGGCUAACUCCGUGCCAGCAGCCGCGGUAAUACGGAGGAUCCGAGCGUUAUCCGGAUUUAUUGGGUUUAAAGGGAGCGUAGGUGGAUAGUUAAGUUAGUGGUGAAAGUUUGCGGCUCAACCGUGAAAUUGCAGUUGAAACUGGCAGUCUUGAGUACAGUAGAGGAAGGCGGAAUGCGUGGUGUAGCGGUGAAAUGCUUAGAUAUCACGAAGAACUCCGAUUGCGAAGGCAGUUCACUAGGCUACUACUGACGCUGAGGCUCGAAAGUGUGGGUAUCAAACAGGAUUAGAUACCCUUGUAGUC